RNAcentral lists this transfer RNA (85 nucleotides) under Felis catus (domestic cat). It matches the Rfam family "tRNA". Rfam says of the family: Transfer RNA (tRNA) molecules are approximately 80 nucleotides in length. Their secondary structure includes four short double-helical elements and three loops (D, anti-codon, and T loops). The record is from Rfam by way of RNAcentral. Lineage: Eukaryota; Metazoa; Chordata; Mammalia; Carnivora; Felidae. RNAcentral also lists the same sequence under 1 other name.
GCCUGGAUGGCUCAGUUGGUUAAGCGCCUGACUUUGGCUCAGGUCAUGAUCUCACGGCCCGUGGGUUCGAGCCUCACAUUGGGCU